CCGCAGCAUGCUGAUCCGCGAUUACUAGCGAUUCCAGCUUCAUGAAGUCGGGUUGCAGACUUCAAUCCGAACUGAGACGUACUUUGUGAGAUUUGCUCCACAUCACUGUCUUGCUUCUCGUCGUAUACGCCAUUGUAGUACGUGUGUAGCCCAGGUCAUAAGGGGCAUGAUGAUUUGACGUCAUCCCCACCUUCCUCCGGUUUAUCACCGGCAGUCUCUCUAGAGUCCUCAACUUAAUGUUAGUAACUAAAGACAAGGGUUGCGCUCGUUGCGGGACUUAACCCAACAUCUCACGACACGAGCUGACGACAACCAUGCACCACCUGUAUCCUUCAUCCUCCUCUAUAUCUCUAUAGACUUGUCCAGUAUGUCAAGACCUGGUAAGGUUCUUCGCGUUGCUUCGAAUUAAACCACAUACUCCACCGCUUGUGCGGGCCCCCGUCAAUUCCUUUGAGUUUCACACUUGCGUGCAUACUCCCCAGGCGGGAUACUUAUUGCGUUAACUGCAGCACUGAGUUUCCCCAACACUUAGUAUCCAUCGUUUACGGCGUGGACUACUAGGGUAUCUAAUCCUAUUUGCUCCCCACGCUUUCGUGCCUCAGCGUCAGUUACAGGCCAGUUAGCCGCCUUCGCCACUGGUGUUCCUCCAUAUAUCUACGCAUUUU
RNAcentral lists this ribosomal RNA (665 nucleotides) under uncultured bacterium. RNAcentral describes it as "partial 16S ribosomal RNA". The record is from RNAcentral.